AAUGUUCAGUUUUCUGCUGGGUUUUCGUAAAUAAAAAUAGAUCUAUGAGCUUUCAAGAAAAAAAAAUGGUUUUCUACCCCUCGUGGUAGCGCUCGUUUUAAAAGAAAAGAGUUUUCAUAUUCGAUACAGUUUUCAAAUAUUUUUCUACCCCUCGUGGUAGCGUUUUAAAAGAUAAAAGUUUUUGUGUGGGAAACAUUUCAAAUGAUAGUUCUGGAUUUAUGUUUAAAAAUUGGAAUACUGUCGCGUUGUGAAUGGUGAAUGUAUGAACGUCUGCAUGUGUAGUUGUGAUUGUGUGUUCAUAUGGUUGUGGUUGUAUUCUGGUUGUACUCUGUUUGUAUAAUUGUACUUGUGCGACGCCGUGCAAAUACAGGGGAAACUCUGUCCGUGUAAACAGUGGAUUCCCUGUAUUUGUGGCGGAUCUGACAUACCCUGGGGUCAGGUGUUUCAAAAAAAAAAAAAUUUCAGUCGUUUCCGCUGUUUUUCCAAACAAAAAGGGACCCCGGGGCGUGACAGAUUAAAGUGGUAUCAGAGCCGGUUACCAGCUAGACAUGUGUGGCGAGUCUCGGCUGAGCCAGGGUCUGGAUGACGGGCUAGCGAGAUGAGUCUCACAUCGCCUGGUGAUCUUGGGCUGUGUGUGUGAUUGGACUGACGAGGACGUCAGGGCCUUAACGGGGGGAGUCUGUGACACCCCAAUAAUCCCACAUCGGAUGGGAAUGGGGUUGUCAUUGGGUUUAUAAGAGACUUAGACACUAGUAAUAAUAACUGGGCUUAAGCAUUUUGGGCCGGUGGUUGGGCCCAACGAGUUAUUGUUGCUAGUGGGCCGGGUCGUUA
RNAcentral lists this long non-coding RNA (831 nucleotides) under Ananas comosus (pineapple). RNAcentral's name for it is "long non-coding RNA (ACOM_LNC040002)". Lineage: Eukaryota; Viridiplantae; Streptophyta; Magnoliopsida; Poales; Bromeliaceae. The record is from RNAcentral.